Arvicanthis niloticus (Nile rat) is the source of this 972-nucleotide long non-coding RNA. RefSeq lists it as uncharacterized. The record is from RefSeq and is a predicted model, not a curated record. NCBI's taxonomy places the organism in Eukaryota, Metazoa, Chordata, Mammalia, Rodentia, Muridae.
AUUCUUGUUAUUCUGUACCAGGAGCUAGUGCUCACUCAGCAGGGACCUAGGCCAAUCAAAUUACAAAAGCAGUCCAUGAUAAAGUACAUGUCAGCAGUUCACAGAGAUAAAAGGCUCGUGUGGAAACAAGAGGGUGAGUGUAGACUGUUAGGGCUGCCCCGAUCCUCUAUCACUCACAAGAGCCACCUCACAAUUCACCUCCAUUGUAUUUGAUUUUUUUUUAAAGCUUACCUAACAACCCCUUAAGUUUAACAGUGUGGUCUACUUAGAGUGCUUGAGUCAGUGCAGGCUUUGCUGUUGUCAAGAGGAUUCUUCAUGAUUAGUCUCCCCUGUUGAUGAUGGACAGGAUGAGCCACAACAGGAUGAUCUCCGUCUGGUCAAAGGUCUGUGGAGCAAAGAAUAACUAGUCUUCAAUGCUAGAAGGAUUCCUUCUGUCUUCAAAGAGUGGGAGAGAAAAUGACUGAUGAUGUUUCUUGUGGCAUGCCACUCCACAGGAGGAAAUCUAUGUCUGAUACUGUACAUCGAGCCAAAGACGCCUGGCUAGGGAACUCACAUACCCCAGAGGAUGUCUUCAGUUACAGACAUCUCCAUGAAGAUGGCAAGCAGAUACAAACAUCCUCUCUUGGCCAUGCAUGCACUCAGUACCACAGCACACCAUAACAGAGAUAAGAAAGGAGGCCCACCUAAUGCUGUUCCCCACCUUUGGGUAUCCUCUCUGCUGUUACUUUUUCAGAUAUGUGUCCUUCACAGCACCUUAUUCCUCUGCUGUUUUCCCUUUGGUCUUCUUUAUAGACCUCCUAGCUUUCCAAGACCCAAGACCAAAGCUCAUAUAUACUGAUACCACAGGCCUUCCAAGUAAGGAGAUUAAAUGGGCUUUAGUAAUCUCUCUCUCUCUCUCUCUCUCUCUCUCUCUCUCUCUCUCUCUCUCUCUCUCUCGCUGCAACAGUGAUUUUUAGUAAGAGAAACAAUGAU